Molecule: microRNA precursor, 55 nt
Filed under: Tupaia belangeri (northern tree shrew)
Lineage: Eukaryota; Metazoa; Chordata; Mammalia; Scandentia; Tupaiidae
Description: miRNA (ENSTBEG00000019951.1)
Source: RNAcentral
CUUUGUACUCAGGUCCCUGUUCGGGCGCCAGGUGUCCCAACCAGGGGGGGGACAG